UUUCUAUUAAUGAGUUUCGUUAUCUAAAAUGUUCUAAAAUGUCUUUUAUGUUAGAAUAAAUAGAAACAGUGCACCAUUUCCUCUCCUAAUUUGCUGCUUACCAAUAACCCCAUAUCUUUUUGAGAACUUCAGUCGGUUCAAAAUCCUAAAGCUUGGAAGGACCUUAAAUGUCCAUAGACCAUAGGGCUUAUAUCUUUGGGUCAUAAAGUAAAAGUAGGGUUUACACAAAAGUUCUACAGUGUUGUCGACAGUUUGCACUUUGCAUUGAAGUCAGGGGACAUAUUAAAUGACUCUAGCAUCGGUACUCCAUGAGAUAGUUUUAGCAUGGGGUAGAGUGGGUCUGUCUGUACACAUCUACAAUGGGCUCUUUGUGGGUUCUUCACCUUAUCUCUUAGGUGAUUGAGAGAUGAGUCAUUGACAUAUUUUAUUAUUUUCUUAAUUUUGCAUGCAAUUAUUUUGGCUUAUUUAAAACAAAGUCAGUGAAGAAGAUCGCAUUCACUUCCUUCACAACCAGAGCACUGCAAACUUUGAAUGUCUACAUAAAGGACAAGUUCUUCUCGAACAAUAGAUAUUGCUCAUGCAUGGCUCAU
RNAcentral lists this small RNA (590 nucleotides) under Vigna angularis var. angularis. Its description in RNAcentral is "Non-protein coding transcript". The record is from RNAcentral. Lineage: Eukaryota; Viridiplantae; Streptophyta; Magnoliopsida; Fabales; Fabaceae.